GAUGAACGCUGGCGGCGUGCCUAAUACAUGCCAGUCGAGCGAACGGACGAGAAGCUUGCUUCUCUGAUGUUAGCGGCGGACGGGUGAGUAACACGUGGAUAACCUACCUAUAAGACUGGGAUAACUUCGGGAAACCGGAGCUAAUACCGGAUAAUAUUUUGAACCGCAUGGUUCAAAAGUGAAAGACGGUCUUGCUGUCACUUAUAGAUGGAUCCGCGCUGCAUUAGCUAGUUGGUAAGGUAACGGCUUACCAAGGCAACGAUGCAUAGCCGACCCGAGAGGGUGAUCGGCCACACUGGAACUGAGACACGGUCCAGACUCCUACGGGAGGCAGCAGUAGGGAAUCUUCCGCAAUGGGCGAAAGCCUGACGGAGCAACGCCGCGUGAGUGAUGAAGGUCUUCGGAUCGUAAAACUCUGUUAUUAGGGAAGAACAUAUGUGUAAGUAACUGUGCACAUCUUGACGGUACCUAAUCAGAAAGCCACGGCUAACUACGUG
Molecule: ribosomal RNA, 497 nt
Filed under: uncultured bacterium
Lineage: Bacteria
Description: partial 16S ribosomal RNA
Rfam family: Bacterial small subunit ribosomal RNA
Source: RNAcentral